Molecule: ribosomal RNA, 292 nt
Filed under: uncultured bacterium
Lineage: Bacteria
Description: partial 16S ribosomal RNA
Rfam family: Archaeal small subunit ribosomal RNA
Source: RNAcentral
GUUCCAUCCGCCGCGGUAAUACCGGCAGCUCGAGUGAUGGCCGAUCUUAUUGGGCCUAAAGCGUCCGUAGCUGGCUGCGCAAGUCCGUCGGGAAAUCCACUCGCCCAACGAGUGGGCGUCCGACGGAAACUGCAUAGCUUGGGACCGGAAGGCUCGAAGGGUACGUGCGGGGUAGGAGUGAAAUCCCAUAAUCCCGCACGGACCACCGAUGGCGAAAGCACUUCGAGAAAACGGAUCCGACAGUGAGGGACGAAAGCCAGGGUCUCCAACCGGAUUAGAGACCCGAGUGUCC